CACAAACAUGUCAAUGCAUGCAUUCUCUCACGGAUUAUGAAGUAUCACAACACAAAGGACUUUGUUACCUUUUGUAUCCCCUAUCUAUUUUGUAUCUCAAAUGUUUUAAAAGUUAACACUGGACAAAACUACUGCAGAAGCGUGGAUAUUCAUUUUAAUUUCAGGAGAUUUUCUCCUUCCAACAGCGGAACUGAAAAGCAUCUGAAUGCUAAAUCUAAUGUUGUCAGUGAUGUCUGAUGGAGGAGGAUUAUGUUGGAGAUACUGAUGAGCUCUAUGUUGUGGGGUCUGGACCCCGUGUUCUCAGCAUACUCCAAAGUUUACAUCACAGGCACCCUACAAAUGACAGAGUCUUUACAAGUGCCAGGACUAUCUACAGUAAGUGGACUGUGGGCAAAAAAACAACAACUAAAAGCUGAUUAUAAAUAGUCUACAACAAAUUAAAUGGAGUUUAUUUCUACAAGACCCACACACUAUUCCAGGUCGAUGUUCUGGGGACAGUUGUGUACAAGCGGGAGAGAGACGACUUCUACUGCUAUGGAGAUAAAGUGAACGAUCCUGUGAUGGCAGUGCAGAUCACGCAUGCUGGAAAUGCCUCUGCUGUACAUAAAGUGCUAUGAUCAGCUGUUACAGAUGCCAAGUGAGGAACUGGGAGGCUCAGUGUAAGCCAGACAAAAUGAUAGGUGUGGUUUUUAUUUUGUAGUCAUCAAAUGGGCUGAGCUUUGAAUUUACACUUAUUUACCUUGGAAAGGGGAAGAAAAUGCUGGUAAAGUUUUGUUUGUUCUCUUGUGUAAUGUGCUUGUGUAAUACAUCAAAUAUACACUCACUGAGCACUUUAUUAGCAACACUAUGGUCCUAAUAAAGUGCCAGAUGUGGUCUUCUGCUGUUGUAGCCCAUCAGCCUUGAGGUUUGAACUGUUGUGCAUUCUGAGAUUCUUUUCUGCUCACCACAAUUGUACAGAGUGGUUAUCUGAGUUACCAUAGCCUUUCUGUCAGCUCAAACCAGUCUGACCAUUCUCUGUUGACCUCGCUCAUCAACAAGGCAUUUCCAUCUCUUAUAUAACUAUAGAGGCUGUUGUGUGUGAAAAUCACAGGAGAUCAACAGUUGCAGAAAUACUCAAACCAGCCCGUCUGGCAGCAACAAUCACACAACGGUCGAAAUCACUGAGAUCACAUUUUUCCCCAUUCUGAUGGUUGAUAUGAAGCUGAAGCUCCUGACCCAUAUGUACAUGAUUAUAUGCAUUACACUUCUGCCACAUGAUUGGCUGAUUAGAUAUUUGCAUGAAAAAUAGGUGUACUUGCAUUCCUAACAAUAUAAAGUGUGUUUCAAAAAUGCUUAAUGCUUCUUUAAACUGUAUUUUCAGGGCAAGUGGGUCCUCAGAGUUCCAGUAUUUGGUGUCUCGGUCAGUUUCCAACCUAAAGGAAUUCCUUGCAGAAAAAGUGGUGCAGUGCUGUUUCAUAGGGUACAAAAUCGAAAUGCAUUAAACCACCAAGAAAACUGUUUUUGUUCAAUGUCAGUGCUCCUGGCUGGGGCUACAGCGAGGAAUAACGUGUGUUAGGCAUAGCAGGGGAGGGUGUGUUGAGCUGUUUGAUGGCAGCAGGCGGGAAUGAUCGUCUGGAGCGCUUUUAUGAAGUCUCCUCCGAGACGCUGCUAGUCUGGAGAUUCAAGGACAGCAACAUAUGGGGAGGAGAAGUAUGCUAAUGAGAAUCUUUUCAAUGUCUGCCUUAGCGAUGAAGUGAGAAUGUCUCUUGAAUAUACCAAAAGCAUUUGAUGUUGUAAAUGUUCUUAAUUUGUUGCAAUAGAAGUUUUUUGCCAAUUGAAUACAUUUGGGCUGAGUUGGUCACUUUGAAUGAUGAAUCGCAUGAAAGUGAUCCAUUGUGAGGAUGACUCAUCCAUUUUGAGGCAUUCCUUUUGUCUGAAGUAGUCAGAUGCGCAUGGAACCUCAUUUUCUACACACAUUCGAAAACGUCCGAAAGAGACCCUGAGCGUCCUCCAGGGACAAAUAUUCUGCAAAAUGCGGACACAGAACGAAGUCUACAAUGUAUGUGCAUGCACAUGUGCAUAACCAAACGAGACAAAGAUCUUCUCUCCGUGAUCAGGGAAAUUUUACAAGAGGAUACCAAAAGGGAAAAAUGCAUGUUUUCAUGUGUGUGCAUGCUUGCUUUACAUACUACUGUAAAAACACACACAAUGUUUAAUAUACACAUGUGAGUGGAGAACCCUCUUCAUAUGUUGCUGUUUUGCAGAUGCUGAGAAAUUAUGCCAUGUCCUUAAUUUACUGUCCAGUGUUAGACAGCACUACAGCCAAUACCUGAAUCGUGAGGCUCUGGAGGUUGCUCUGAUUUUCAUGGAAUGCAACAGGGAUAAAAUCAGCACAACAGAGGCCCACCACAUUGUCCUUUAGCAUCAUUUUUAAAACAUUCAAUUUAAAAAUAUUAGCAAAGUGUUAUAAUUACUUAAUGUUGAAAUUGCCUCAUUAUUUAGGAAAAUAACACACAUUUGAUAUCUUCUGAAAAGUUGUACAGUUUACCAGCCUGUCAUUUACUACUGUAGUUACAAUCAGUGGCCACACGAGGUCAGUGUGACUGAAUAAAUACGCCAUAGUUCUAAAACAUAUGUUUAUUAUUUUUUUUUUUUUUACAUUACAUAAAAACUAUUUGUAAAGUGUUCAGACACAAUCAGGCAUCAUAGUUUUAACAGUUAAAUUUACCAUAAAAUAAUUUAAUAGCUAUUAAUUGUUGUGUACUCGUAAUUGCUUUUCAUGGUUUAGCAUAAAACAAUUAUGUAGACAUAUUUGUAAUAUUAUUCUUAAUGUUGAAAUUACCAAACAUUUGAUAUCUUCUGAAUAUUUGCAGUUUACCAGCCUGUCAUUUAUGACUGUAGUUACAAUCAGUGGCCACAAGGGGUGAGUGUGAGCCAUAUAUACGUCACUGAAUGUUUUUAACAUGCAUCCGGUAGAGGCAUAUCAUCAAUGUGAAAUACGACAUAGUUUUUUGUAUGG
Xyrauchen texanus (razorback sucker) is the source of this 2998-nucleotide long non-coding RNA. RefSeq lists it as uncharacterized. The record is from RefSeq and is a predicted model, not a curated record. Lineage: Eukaryota; Metazoa; Chordata; Actinopteri; Cypriniformes; Catostomidae. The transcript is spliced from 4 exons.